ACCCCGCUUGCAGGUUGGUUUUAGAAAAUUUGUCUUAUUUUUCUAUUUAUGUUGGGAAGCAUACUUAAAAAGAAAAGAAAAGCCAACACUAAAGAGGACAAUUCACAAGAAUAAAAACCCUCCGUUAGAAGUUUUGCGGAUUCGCUUUCGGGGAAACAAACAGAUUGGCUAAGCGGUUUUUGAGGGCCGAAAUCAGCUGACAUCACUAAUGAUGGGUGGUUGCGGGUGGUUCGCAAGUACUUCAAAAGCAGCUUGCGGAGAGAACAAAAAAGUUAAACACCGCUUCCACGAACAGCGAAACGCUCAACAAAUGGAAGUUACCGGUUUUUUUUUCACUAUUUUUUUUGCCACCUGCCGAAGACGACGCAAACAAACCAUCACCCAACCGAACCGAAGCCCGAUCCGGAGCAACAACGCGCGGCUAGCACAUGCUGGCGCACGAGCCACGCCACCGUCACAGCAUCCUCCAACGCGCGCAUGAAUUCAUGUGCUCAUGCAUGGUUCAUGCGAAGCCUCGGCGCAAAGCCCGAAGCUGUUCAUCCCAUCCGCUUCCAUGGCAACCGACGUGCCGGUUGCAAUCGCACGCUCCCGCUCUCUCUAACGGGCCCUUGCGCGCGCUUUCUCAGCUUUGCAGAGAAGAAGCGUUGGAGCUUUCCCAUCAUCUCCCGCUUCCCAGUCAGUGGGGGUUGGCACAACAACAAAAAAAAAGAAACAAAACCGAAAGCUCGCCAGCACCCGACCGAUCGACCGAGCGACCAGCUGGACCGCUUUGCCGGAUGGACGUGAAAUGCCAGUCUGUUGUUGCGCUCGGGCGUAGAAAGUGGUCUCCGGCUGCGCUUUAUCUCGUCACAAAAGAGAACAAAAGUGGCCGUUGCCGUGGCUGUUCGGUGUUGGUUCGCCAGUGUUUUACCGAGGGUGGCCAAAACAUAGCACCCGGUCGAAGGCGAAAAGUAAACGCAAAGGGUGGCCCCAAACCGUAACGGGUGGCGUAAUUUUCCAACUUUGUGUGUACGUGCAUCGGUGGUAACAGCAACAUAGAUACGAGUGUGUGUGACUUAUUCUGUGUGUGUAUGUGAUUGUGCCCUGCAACCAUCGUUUAAAGCGAGUGUCCCCGACAAACAGUCCUCCAAAUGAUUCCACAUCGAACUGUACGGCUGUAUCGAUUGCAGCGAGCGGGAAGCGUUUGGAACGGCCAACGGUCGGUGACGACGUUUGGUGGUGCAGUGCUGGCGGUGAUGCUACUGUGUGCCGCCACCGUGGUCGGCAGGGCUGAGGGAUACAAUGCGUCCGCGGGCAGCAAGCCGGAAGACAUGCCGAGCAGCGAAGAAGGCGAGCAAUUGAUGCCACAGGCACUCUCGCUAACGACACUGCUCUCGGAGGAUCCAACGGCGGCAGCGCUGCAGCACCAGCCCGGCCAAACCGAUGCAUCCCUGCAGCCCCUGGCCGAGCACGGCCCGUCGGCACCUUCCAGCUCACCGCCCGACGGACGCCGGCGACGUCGGCUGGGCAGAAAGCGCAAACGUCGCCCACUGCAGGACGACUAUUGGCCGCCGGCCGCACCGGAAGAUAACGAUACCGAAUCGAACGUGUUUUCCUCCCCGACGGCAGCGGCGGCCGGGACGCGCGGAUCCGAACGGAAGCGCCUGCCAGCAGUACGGUGGGAAGAGGCGGGACAGCAGCAGAAGGUGCCACCGUCCGCCUUUCGGCAGGGUGUUCGCACGAAUGGCAACUGGAAUCAUCACCAGCAGCAUCAGCAGCGCGCCGGCGACUGGAUGCACAAUCCCUACACGGAUGCGGUGAACGUGGAGCAACCGGCGGCGGCAGCGGCGGCAAUACCUGCAAGACGACUCCCCGGUGGACAAUCGACUGCGGCGGCAUCGGCCGGCGGGAAUUUGCCACCUAUGGAUGCGAAUAGGUCUCGGCGAAUUGCCGGCGGCCGGCCGACCGAACCGUCACCGACCAAUGGGAAAGCGUACCGGAAGCCCUACUCGCAGGCCCGGCGCACCGAGGAGGAACACGGCGAUGGUGGUGGUUCAGGAGAGACGGCCGGCAAGCUUCCUGCGUCGGCGGCCGAUCUGAAGGCCCUGCUGAAGCAGUCGGACGGGCUGAGUUUGAGCGAAAUACUGCAGCAGCGCAACAUUUCCCUGCAGGAUCUUAUCAAGGGCAAGCAGAUGGCACUGGCCGCCCUGACCCAGAGCCCGCUGGACGCGACCACAACGACGAUGCCGUCGACGGCUGGCGAAACCGACCCGGCGUCGACCCUCUCGCCGACACUUUCGAGCGUACGGUUUCGGGUGUACGACGAUGAUGGCGUUACCGGGCGAGUGUCGCAGCCGGGCGGCGAAACCACCACCGGCGCGAUAAUGACGAGCCCAACGACGAGCACGGUGCUACCAGCACCGGCUAGCGAUAUGCUAACGACGUCCGGCUUCAAUGGUCAUCCGCUGGAGGACGACGAGUCGAGCAAUGCGGUUGGCGAUGAUAACAACGGACAGAAAGGUGGUGGUGGUGGUGGUGGUGUGGGCAACAUUUUCCCAACGGUGGAAAUCAAACAGCUCGCCCUCAACCCGGUCCUGCCCGUGCACAAGGAGGAGCAGCAGCGCGUGCGACCGAUAAAGGGUGUCGCCUCGCGGAUACGGCCCGACCUGAGCAACACGCACAUCCGCACCGAACCGGGCCUAACCACACCAUCGACGAGCGGGCCAACGAGCCCAUCGCUGCUGCUGCUAACACCGACCACCCGGGAAAAGUGGACACCGUCGGCCGCCCUCGUCGGGCAGCGGGCCAAGCAGCAAACGACCGGCGGCAGGCAGCGGCACCACGGUUACGGCACCACCCUACCGGCCAGCUUUAGCUCGUCCGGUUCGGCUGACCGGCUGACCGUGACGACGGUCGAGCCACCGACGGCGAAGAAGCUCGUUGCGCCCAAACUGAGCUCCGUCGAGGCCACCUCCAUCCUGCCGGAAGCGGAAGCAAUGGUGGAGCUGUCGCCCGAUCGGCCCCUUCAGCAGCAUUUGCUUCGCGUGCCGAAACUGAAGCCCCGAAUCGCCAUCAAACCGAAGCUAACGAACGUGGUACCGCCGACGCUGCCCGCCGAUUCGAACGGAGCAACGGUGGUGUCAUCGCCGUCAUCACCACCACCCGACAAGCGGCCACCGGCGACGAAAGAUCCACUCAACCUGUCCGACGUCGAGCUGGAGGAUGACAGUGCUGGGGAGCGAGGGACAGUGGUUACAACUGACCUGCCGACCGGCAAACGGCAACCGCCAACCCGCCAGCACCGGCUGCACGAUGACCUGGAGGACGAAGGGGAAGAAGAGCCGCGGCUGAACAUCAUCGAGAAGUUCACCUCGUUUGCCGAUUCGUCGGCUGGUGUGCGACCGCAGGCCACACCGCAGGAGGAGCGCGACUCCGAGCAGGAGGAGGCGGCGGUGGCCGAUUUGAUCGGCCGCAUCAGCGAGCACACGCAGCGCUCGUUCACCGACAGCCUGGAGGAGCUGUACCGCGACGUGACGGAGAGCAAUCCGUCGCUGUUUAACGACCUGUCGCCGAUCACCAGCGCGGACGAGCGGCGCGAGCUGCUCGAGCUGAUGGAGGACCGGCGGAUCGGGUCGCGGCUAGCGAAGGUGCUGUCCCAGCGCAACAUGACGCUCGACCAGCUGCUCGAGCAUCGGCGCCGCGGUUCCAGCCAGCUCCAUCUGGCGGAGAUCGCGAACGGCAAGGUGAAGCCGAUCGACGACAAGAUCGACAUCGUGACGGCGUUCGAGCACUUUCCGCGCUUCAACAUUGGCAAUCUGCGCAGCAUCCGGCCCGACGACAUCAAGCACGAUUCGCAGGGCUUCAGCUACUUCACCUCCAUCAUCAACAUCCGCCCGUCGGACGAGGGCUACAGCAAGGAGGCCCGGGCGCUGCAGCAGGACCGGCACCGGUCGCGGGCCGCCGCCGGCAGCAACCACCAGCACCACCAUCGCAGUGAGUCGCAUUUUUUAGUGAAGGGCGGAUCGAAGGAUAGGCUGCUCGUGCCUUCGAGAAUGUCCGCCGCAAUGGAACACGCGUACGGCAGCAAUGGUGAGCAGCAGCACGGGGCUGCCGGCACUGGGGACGACCGGAUGGAUGUGGACGGCGAUCUGCUCGAUCUGGAGCUGUCCGGGCACGGGUUUCAGCACCACCGGGGCUCGGUCACGAUCGAAAGCACGUCGAUGCCGGUCGGCGUCCGGUCGGCGAUCGUGGCCAGCUCGGCCAUCGUGGGCGUCUCGCUGCUGAUCUUUGUGGCCAUCUUUGUGGCGUGCCGGGUGCGGCAGCGCCGGCGCCAGAAGCUCAACUACACGGAACACUUCCACAUGGCCAAGGGGCGGCUGCCGAUACUGCAUGGCGGAGUGGAGCAAGAGCAGCAGCAGCAGCAGCAGGCCCACAGCAGCUGCACACCGGCCGGUUCGGGCCGGUCGAGCAGUUUGGGCGAGCAGCAGGUCGUCUACACGACGCACCGUGCCCUGGCGGAACGAACCGGCGGCACCGGUGGGGCGGGCGCAGCGCCUACAGCGACAGCGGCGGGCCGGCAGCGCACCAUGAUGGAUCCGAACUCGGUCGAGAUACAGGACUACCUGUGGGACCGGAAGCCGUUCCAGUAGAGACGGGGCAUUUACGCCGUAAAUCUGGAAUGUCGACGGUUGUGAUAGCACAUGCUCUUUUUAUCUGUUUGUGUAGAUUGGUCUCAUCACACCGAAUGAAACAAAACAAAAAAACACAAAAAAGAAGGACAGCACCGACACCGUAUCGAACUCUUAUUGGGGCGUACGAGAAGUAAGGAUGGAAUUCCGGCGCGCUGUUGAUGCCCUCGUGCCCCGAAACGGUACGGACGGUAAUCCUGUAGCCGUGGGGUAUGCAGCAGCAGCAGCAACCGCAGAUUGGCGACAUCUCGGGCACACGAUUGUCCAUGCAACAUGCGACUAAACUUCCCAGGAAUUGGUUAUUUAGAUAUGGUUACGAGCAAAAGGACCAACAAGGUCGGUUGCGGCCGUUCGUUGCGCGUAGAAAGGAGGAGAGCAGCAACGAACAACAGUAGACCAGAGUUUCCAGAGUGAUGUAUUAAAGAGACAAACAUAAUUAUCUACACAGUAGACUAGUAACGUGCGUACGUUGUUAAGAAGCUUAGGGAGGAGAUGGAGCGGGAACGAAAAUCUUGUAAGAUAGACAAAACCAAUGUGCAAUAUUAUGAUGUUCGAAAGGAAGAAUAAUACAUUAAUUUAGAGCAGCGAUAGUGUAAAAACGACCCGCAAAACGACAACCCGUUGGCGGUACGCGUUGUAGCCCGGUAGGGAAAUAAUUUAUAGAUUAAAACAACGAUGCCCCGUAUGUCCGUUUCUUUUAAGGAUAGGUUGGGAUGGUAGAAUAGGAGUUCGAGUUGCCCAACGCCCGCCUGAUUGAGCACCAAGGGGGAACACUAAGGAGGGGAACACUAAGGAGCAAUCCGACUUAACGUCGAUGGUGAAACCAAUCCGAAACUCUCUUAAAUUACAAUAAAUCUAAUUAAAAGGCAGUGGUGGUAUCGUCCUCUUUUCCCUUUGUAAUCUCAA
RNA transcript from Anopheles coluzzii, 5573 nucleotides. RefSeq lists it as uncharacterized. Lineage: Eukaryota; Metazoa; Arthropoda; Insecta; Diptera; Culicidae. The transcript is spliced from 4 exons. The record is from RefSeq and is a predicted model, not a curated record.